GCCCAGCCCAGCAGGGCUGGCAGGAGCUGCUGGUGUGGCUGCUCUUUGGGUUCUCAGCUGUGGCUGUGGGGUGGUGACAUCGUGUUCCUGCCUGUGCUCCAGGGCAGCCAAAACCCCAGCACAGCCCCUGGGCCUUUGUGGGAGCCUGAGCUAUUGUAGUACUGGGGAUGGGGGUUUGGGUUUUUGUUUCCCUAAAAGUAGAACCAUUGGGGGGGAUCUCUUAUCUCACAGUUGUUGUUGUUUUGAUAUCUUAAUUAAUUACAGCUUUAGAAGAAAACCUUGUGUAACUUAGGAACUGACUUGCACUGGUUACACUGAAAGUGCCAAGGAGUUGUAGUGUCCACUGGAUUGUUUGUAUUGAAGCAGUUUGGUGUUUACAGAGGGAUAAUAACUCCUGUCAGCAGCAAGGUCCUGACUGAAGUGGCAGCUGCAGUUGUUCCUGUGGUGUGGGCCAGUGGAAUUCCAAGAAAAUGGACAAGGACAGAACCUGUAAGAAUUACCCCUAAGCCAGAGUCUCUCCUGGUAAGGCAAACCCAGUAUCCUUUAAAAUUAGGAAGCCAAGCUGGAUUGGUUGCAGUAACAGCUGAAUUUGCUGAUCAUGGUUUGAUAGUAGAAUGUGAAUGGAAGGACCUGUAAAGAAAGGAAAUGGGAAAGAUGAUGGAUUGCUGGGAGCAGGGUCUGGCAGACAGUGGCACUGGAUGUUUGGUUGUGUUUGGGAAUGAGCAGCUUGACCUGCCCAGGGUUGUCUGUGCUGGGGGUGGGUUUGGGUCCUGUGUGGCCACAGGUCUGUGCAGCAGCUGGAGCCUGGGCAGGUCUGGGGGCUGUGGUGUGCCAGGCUGCUGAGUGUGUUGUCCCUGUUUCCUUGGAGUGUCCCAGUGUCCCUGCUUGGCUGUUUGUUGCCCUGCAGGCAGGAGAGCCCAGGCCUGAGCUGGCUGAGUGUUGGUGUGAGCCAGAGUGGGUGUCCCUGCCCUCGGACCAGUCCCCAGAGCUGCCUUUGGCAUCCCCUGCUGAAGGGUGGGAGCUGCCCAGAGCCAGUAGCAUCCAGCUGGAGGAUCCAGGAGGAUGCAGCUCUGCUUUGCUGGGAGCUUGUCCAGGAGAUGGAAUUCCAGUGCUACAGUCUGGGUGGGUCAUGGUGCUCCCAAAAGGAGCCUUUGUGCCUUCAGGGCAGGUUCUGGUGCCCCUGGAGCUGUUGGGAGAAGCGGAGGGUUGGCAGUGAGAGGCCUGGAAUGAUGUUGUGGCACAGAAGAAAUGAGCAGUGAUGGUCCAACUGGCUGUUUUCUCUGGAAUGUAAUGGUAAGAGCUGCAGGAGUGCCAGGUGUGUGUUCCAGUCCCCAGCAUUUGGUUUGCACAUGUCCUGGUCAGACACAGGUACAACUUCCUCAGUCAUUUAACCCAAUAGAGGGAGAAUGAAGGACUGGCAGUGUUAAGGUGAUUGGUGUGACAGGGGUUAAACUGGGAAAACAUUGGGGAAUUCCUCAGUUUGUCUCUUUGCCAAACUCACCCAAACCUGUGCUAGGAAGAGAUGGACUGGAAAAGUUGAGGCAGAAAUGAAAUGGAAAACUGGGGUUGUUGAAACUGUAAUUGCUGAAACUAAAUGUGUCAAAGCAGCAGCUCUUGUUGUGCAGGGAAUAACUCCUGUCAGCAGCAAGGUCCUGACUGAAGUGGCAGCUGCAGUUGUUCCUGUGGUGUGGGCCAGUGGAAUUGCAGGAGAGUGGAAGAGGGCAGAACCUGUAGGUAUUACCCCUGAUGUGGGAUCUCUCCUGGACGUGAAUGCAAGAACCUGCCAAGAAACCAAUGGCCAAG
Pseudopipra pipra is the source of this 1803-nucleotide long non-coding RNA. RefSeq lists it as uncharacterized. NCBI's taxonomy places the organism in Eukaryota, Metazoa, Chordata, Aves, Passeriformes, Pipridae. The record is from RefSeq and is a predicted model, not a curated record. The transcript has 3 exons.